Molecule: ribosomal RNA, 301 nt
Filed under: uncultured bacterium
Lineage: Bacteria
Description: partial 16S ribosomal RNA
Rfam family: Bacterial small subunit ribosomal RNA
Source: RNAcentral
CAGUAGCCACGGGAAUACGUAGGUGGCAAGCGUUGUCCGGAAUUAUUGGGCGUAAAGGGCUCGCAGGCGGUUUCUUAAGUCUGAUGUGAAAGCCCCCGGCUCAACCGGGGAGGGUCAUUGGAAACUGGGAAACUUGAGUGCAGAAGAGGAGAGUGGAAUUCCACGCGUAGCGGUGAAAUGCGUAGAGAUGUGGAGGAACACCAGUGGCGAAGGCGACUCUCUGGUCUGUAACUGACGCUGAGGAGCGAAAGCGUGGGGAGCGAACAGGAUUAGAUACCCCUGUAGUCCCUGUCUCUUAUAC